Molecule: non-coding RNA, 23 nt
Filed under: Arabidopsis thaliana (thale cress)
Lineage: Eukaryota; Viridiplantae; Streptophyta; Magnoliopsida; Brassicales; Brassicaceae
Source: RNAcentral
ACAGAACAUGAAGUCGGAAUGCC